AGGUAAGCAUAACACUGAAGAUGUUAAGAUGGACCUUGAAACGGUUCCGCAAGCA
Molecule: transfer RNA, 55 nt
Filed under: Acanthochromis polyacanthus (spiny chromis)
Lineage: Eukaryota; Metazoa; Chordata; Actinopteri; Pomacentridae
Description: partial tRNA-Phe
Source: RNAcentral